GAUGAACGCUGGCGGCGUGCCUAAUACAUGCAAGUCGAGCGAACAGACGAGGAGCUUGCUCCUCUGACGUUAGCGGCGGACGGGUGAGUAACACGUGGAUAACCUACCUAUAAGACUGGGAUAACUUCGGGAAACCGGAGCUAAUACCGGAUAAUAUAUUGAACCGCAUGGUUCAAUAGUGAAAGACGGUUUUGCUGUCACUUAUAGAUGGAUCCGCGCCGCAUUAGCUAGUUGGUAAGGUAACGGCUUACCAAGGCAACGAUGCGUAGCCGACCUGAGAGAGUGAUCGGCGACACUGGAACUGGGACGCGGUCCAGACUCCUACGAGAGGCAGCAGUAGGGAAUCUUCCGCAAUGGGCGAGAGCCUGACGGAGCAGCGCCGCGUGAAUGAUGGAGGUCUUCGGAUCGUAAAGCUCUGUUAUUAGGGAAGAACAGAUGUGUAAGUAGCUGUGCACGUCUUGACGGUACCUAGUCAGAAAGCAACGGCUAACUACGUG
This 497-nucleotide ribosomal RNA is filed under the name uncultured bacterium. Its description in RNAcentral is "partial 16S ribosomal RNA". It matches the Rfam family "Bacterial small subunit ribosomal RNA", at positions 28 to 507 of the family's 1533-position model. The record is from RNAcentral.